ACGUUAGCGGCGGACGGGUGAGUAACACGUGGGUAACCUACCUAUAAGACUGGGAUAACUUCGGGAAACCGGAGCUAAUACCGGAUAACAUUUGGAACCGCAUGGUUCUAAAGUGAAAGAUGGUUUUGCUAUCACUUAUAGAUGGACCCGCGCCGUAUUAGCUAGUUGGUAAGGUAACGGCUUACCAAGGCGACGAUACGUAGCCGACCUGAGAGGGUGAUCGGCCACACUGGAACUGAGACACGGUCCAGACUCCUACGGGAGGCAGCAGUAGGGAAUCUUCCGCAAUGGGCGAAAGCCUGACGGAGCAACGCCGCGUGAGUGAUGAAGGGUUUCGGCUCGUAAAACUCUGUUAUUAGGGAAGAACAAAUGUGUAAGUAACUGUGCACGUCUUGACGGUACCUAAUCAGAAAGCCACGGCUAACUACGUGCCAGCAGCCGCGGUAAUACGUAGGUGGCAAGCGUUAUCCGGAAUUAUUGGGCGUAAAGCGCGCGUAGGCGGUUUCUUAAGUCUGAUGUGAAAGCCCACGGCUCAACCGUGGAGGGUCAUUGGAAACUGGGAAACUUGAGUGCAGAAGAGGAAAGUGGAAUUCCAUGUGUAGCGGUGAAAUGCGCAGAGAUAUGGAGGAACACCAGUGGCGAAGGCGACUUUCUGGUCUGUAACUGACGCUGAUGUGCGAAAGCGUGGGGAUCAAACAGGAUUAGAUACCCUGGUAGUCC
This 720-nucleotide ribosomal RNA is filed under the name Staphylococcus saprophyticus. RNAcentral describes it as "bacterial SSU rRNA". It matches the Rfam family "Bacterial small subunit ribosomal RNA", at positions 89 to 796 of the family's 1533-position model. Lineage: Bacteria; Bacillati; Bacillota; Bacilli; Caryophanales; Staphylococcaceae. The record is from RNAcentral.